GUGCUUCAGUAGCACAUAUGAUAAAAUACAGAGGAGAUUAGUAUAACCCCUGUGUAAGAAUGACACUCAGAUUCAUGAAGUGUUAUAUAUAUUA
Rattus norvegicus (Norway rat) is the source of this 94-nucleotide small nuclear RNA. Lineage: Eukaryota; Metazoa; Chordata; Mammalia; Rodentia; Muridae. The record is from Ensembl.